Molecule: ribosomal RNA, 433 nt
Filed under: uncultured bacterium
Lineage: Bacteria
Description: partial 16S ribosomal RNA
Rfam family: Bacterial small subunit ribosomal RNA
Source: RNAcentral
AACGAACGCUGGCGGCAUGCCUAACACAUGCAAGUCGAACGAGACCUUCGGGUCUAGUGGCGCACGGGUGCGUAACGCGUGGGAACCUGCCCUUAUGUUCGGACUAACUCCCCGAGAUGGGUGCUAAUACCGGAUAAUGUCUUCGGACCAAAGAUUCAUCGCCUUGGGGUGGGCCCGCGUUGGAUUAGCUAGUUGGUAGGGUAAACGCCUACCAAGGCGACGAUCCAUAGCUGGUCUGAGAGGAUGAUCAGCCACACUGGGACUGAGACACGGCCCAGACUCCUACGGGAGGCAGCAGUGGGGAAUAUUGGACAAUGGGCGAAAGCCUGAUCCAGCAAUGCCGCGUGAGUGAUGAAGGCCUUAGGGUUGUAAAGCUCUUUUACCCGGGAUGUUAAUGACAGUACCGGGAGAAUAAGCUCCGGCUAACUCCGUG